GCCACCAGGGAAGUCCUUCCAUUGAAGACAAGUUUGGUCAAGAGAACAGAAUGCUCUGUAUUUCAAAGUGGGUGCAUUUUUCCUCUUCCUAUAAGAAGCAGCACAGGAUGUUUUACUUUCUCAUUAUUCUCUCAGAGAACCUGAUUGGGCUUCUGGAGUAAAAGUUAUAAAAAUGUGAGGACCCUCCUAACACCGAAACCUCCUCCACACCCUGCCCCCCACCCUGUGUUUAUCUUACAAGCCUGUCCAGUAAUUUGGCAAACACCGCUGGAGUGAUCAUACCAGGACUGGCUGCCUCAGUGGACUCCUACUCCAGAGCUUCCGUUAUAAAUUCUUAUGGAAUGAUUACAAUCUCCUUGUAAGGAAAAAAAAGGGGAAAUGGAAACCUCUAUUAAAGAGAGUUGGGAAACCAGAACGGGAAGUUCUUAUGCCCCGUGACAACAGCAGAACCGUAUACAGGAAGAAGACCACUCUCUCCAUUCCUGGCAAGGACUCUUUGUGGCAAGAACUCAGCCAAGGAAAAACCAGGGACUCUUUGUUAACGCUAGUCCUCUCAACUUCCUUUUUCUCUCUAUAAAAGCAUUCUCUUUCUCUUGCCCUGCGCACCAUGGUGGCAGAUCCCGAAUUGAGAUUCUCUGCUGAUCCUGAAUAAACCCAUCUUUGCUGGAGAAAUAUCCCAUAGUCUGUUUCGGGUCAACACCCUUGUGAAGUACUGAAGUACGUGUGUUUCUACCCACCUGGGAAGGGAAAGCCCAGAGGAGAUCAGCAAGCAGAGGGAGCUGAUAUUUGCUACAGACUUAAGAGGACCUGGUCAACACAACCUCUUGGCUGCUUAAGCAGUCACAGAAUAAAGUUACGAUAGUCCUGAAGUUUAAAAAAAUAAUAAUAUAUGCUCUUCUGCAACCUGAACAAGAAAAACACCAUCCAAAGUGAAACCUAAAACUAAAACAAUCAUAAGCACUAAUUCUGUAAACAUAAAGAAAAGUUUUCCUCAAUUCACGACUAAAAUUUGCCUUCUAAUUCCGUAUCAAAAUUUCUAAGCUUUUUUUUCUAUUUUAUAUUAUUUUCCCUUCUCUCUCCCCCUAUCACCUUCUUAUUCUCCCUCUCAUUCUUUAUGCUCACCCUCUACGACUUGUGUGGUUUGCAGUCUUUAAGAUGGUCCACAGUAAUCUGUGCCUCAUAUAUGCCCUUGGGUAAGUAAGCCCCUCCCAACAAGUGUACUGACUGGGUGUUUUUUUUUUUUUUUUCUACAUUUCUUUUUAAUUAGAGGAUAAUUGCUUUGCAAUACUGUGAUGGUUUUUGCAUAUAUCAACAUGAAUUGACCAUAGGUAUACAUGUGUCCCCUGCCUCGUGAAUCCCCUUCCCAUCUCCUACUCCGUCCCACCCCCCUAGCUUGUCACAGAGCACCAGCUUUGAGUUCCCUGCAUCGUAC
This 1432-nucleotide long non-coding RNA is filed under the name Capra hircus (goat). Its description in RNAcentral is "lncRNA (ENSCHIG00010016542.1)". The record is from RNAcentral. Lineage: Eukaryota; Metazoa; Chordata; Mammalia; Artiodactyla; Bovidae.